This 492-nucleotide ribosomal RNA is filed under the name uncultured bacterium. Its description in RNAcentral is "partial 16S ribosomal RNA". It matches the Rfam family "Bacterial small subunit ribosomal RNA", at positions 29 to 507 of the family's 1533-position model. The record is from RNAcentral.
AGUGAACGCUGGCGGUAGGCCUAACACAUGCAAGUCGAACGGCAGCACAGUAAGAGCUUGCUCUUACGGGUGGCGAGUGGCGGACGGGUGAGGAAUACAUCGGAAUCUACUUUUUCGUGGGGGAUAACGUAGGGAAACUUACGCUAAUACCGCAUACGACCUACGGGUGAAAGCAGGGGAUCUUCGGACCUUGCGCGAUUGAAUGAGCCGAUGUGGGAUUAGCUAGUUGGCGGGGUAAAGGCCCACCAAGGCGACGAUCCGUAGCUGGUCUGAGAGGAUGAUCGGCCACACUGGAACUGAGCCACCGUCCAGACUCCUACGGGAGGCAGCAGUGGGGAAUAUUGGACAAUGGGCGCAAGCCUGAUCCAGCCAUCCCGCGUGGGUGAAGAAGGCCUUCGGGUUGUAAAGCCCUUUUGUUGGGAAAGAAAAGCAGCAGGUUAAUACCCCGCUGUUCUGACGGUACCCAAAGAAUAAGCACCGGCUAACUUCGUG